AGACGUUAAACACCGCCAACUCAGUUUCAGUUUGUUUCAGUUAACUAGCGGGAAACAUUGUCGUGGCCAGAGCUUUAGCUUCAAACUAAAGAGAACAGUUUGGUUGCUUUGUUUUAUCGGGUUAAGUGUUAAUGUGCUAAUUAAAAUAUUUGGGCUAAAGUAUUGCGACGAUAUUACUCAUACUGUAAAUGUCCAAAUGAACAAGGGCUUUUUUUUAGCAUUGUUUGAUAACUAUACCUUUUUAUUAUAUUUAUAUUAAAAUGAGAAAUUACAAAAUUAGCUUGCGUCGGUGAAAGUGUGUUAACGGUUUUGUAUAUCUCCGAGUAUUGACGUCUAAUAAACAUAGCUGCUGGCCUCAUCUCAAGCUAUUUAUGCACAAGCAUCGAGGAUUAAAUUGCAGAACAAUAUAAUACACAUUUAACACGAUACUGUCUAAAAUAAACCAAGAUAUUCGCAUAUUCGUUAAUCUAUAACAAACCUUCCCUCUCUCAAAUUAAAAAACAAAUAAAUACGCAUUGGACUUUUGUAGAACCAACUAAAUAAUGAAACGUUUUACAAUCACUAAAUUAUUAAAAAAUUAUCAUGGUAUUUGAACUAAACACCCGCGGGAAACGUGCGAUGGACCAAUGCUUUCCGAAGUUUAUCGUGAUCGCGACGCUAUAAUUCCCAACCGAUUCUAUCGUUUUACAUGGUAACCCCCUUCGAUCGUUGAGCUGCCUCUCUACUAACAUUUCCAAACAUAUGUGUGUAUGUAUGAUUCUUGGAUUACCUUACAAAAAGUAAUGUGUUUGGUUUUGUUUGCUUUAUCAAUACAAAUUCCCGUACUAGGUCAAUAAUGCUAGCCUUAAACUUAACAAAUAACUUUAAAACAUUUCGUCUUCGCAUACGGGGUUCUUAAUUAUUUUCCCUGUUUUGUUCCAUUGCUAACGUUAAUUAAGGCCUUAUUUUUGUUCUUUAUUAAAAAAAAAAUUUAAAACAAAACAUGCAAAUGCAAUAAAAUGCUGAGUAACACGCUCGCCUUCGGACACUCUCCUGGUGCGCUUCGUCACUACGUGGACUACCGUCUACAUUGAUAUACUCUUUCCUUUAUGAGUACCGGCUACUAAAACUAGAACACUGAGGUGCAGCCUUAAAUUUUGUGAAGAACUUUUCGAAUCCCAUACACAAAUAACGUUGGAGGUUAAAACAGGAAGACAACCUUUGGGCACAAAUGCUUUCUUAUGAUAGAAACAAACACUAUAUGCAAUGGAAGCCUAUUUAGAUAUGUACAAUGAACAUUUUUUUUACAUACAAACGGAAAGAUAACCGAGUUUAAAUAUUUAUUUGUGUACGCUUAAUUAUUUCUGGUCGAAUAUACCUACAAUUAUAUAUAAUAUAUGAGGCAUUCUCUGGAAAAACCGGGCGGUUUUUUAAUUGAUAUAGUGAUAUAGUCAACUCAAACACACAAAGUGACAUUUGAUGGAUUUUGCAUGUACGGUUGCCACCACAUUUUUAAAAAGCUACAAUUUUCAACGAGUGACUCAAUAUUUAUGGAACUCAGGGCUUUUUAGUUAAAACCAUUUCGAAUUAAAAAAAAAAACAAGGAAGGUAGCUUACUUCGGCAAGUCGAAGUUUAUAUACCCUUGUUGGUCGUUCCUAUAUAAACAGAGCGAACAUUAAAAACAAAAGAGAAAGCUAAAGUUGAUGCCAUCGAGUAUCAGAUACCCGUUACUCAUCUUAGUGCACUGGGAGCACUCAGGGAGUGUGAGGUAGAUAGAGAUAUACAUGUAGCAAAGCGUCUGCUCCCAAGAUUGCUAUAUUUAUUUGC
Drosophila suzukii is the source of this 1807-nucleotide non-coding RNA. The record is from RefSeq and is a predicted model, not a curated record. NCBI's taxonomy places the organism in Eukaryota, Metazoa, Arthropoda, Insecta, Diptera, Drosophilidae.